GAGAGAGAGAGAGAGUGAGUGAGUGUGAGUGUGUGUGUGUGUGUAUGUGUAGGUUGCAGUGUGGGGAUCUAGUCUGUGAUUAAGACUUGUUUUCAAAGUGUUCGCCGUGGAUUUUUUUCUUAAACACCGUUUUUUCUCAGUGAGUUUUGAACCAUGAUGUCACCAAAGUGUUUCUCAGGCUUUGAAAGAUAGUUUCCUGGGUUAGAUUAUAGCAAGAUUUGGGGGUUAAAAAAAGUUGAAUUUCUGGCCUAAAGAGUCAUCAUAACCUUUUACCUAGAGCUAACACUUACAUACCUCAGGUCAAAUAAAUUUAGAUAUAUGCUUAGUGUUCCAUAAAUAGGAACUCUUUGUUCCUUUGUCAUCCUUGGCAGGACCAGAGAAGUUAUUGAUAGUCACAUGUUCCUUUCUUUGUUGUUGAGAUCACCACGUUCUCAUAAAGCCCUGUUAGGAAGCAGAGGACGGACUGCCGUGUUUCACUGUAGAGAGAAAAAGACCUUGUCAUGUCUCUGCCGUCAUGGGAUUCUAGUAUCUUGCUAUGCCAGUGAUGUGGUCUGAAAACUUGUUUUUAUGGGCGUACCUGCAAAACAUUAUGCUCUGUGGAAAGAGGCAGGCACAGACAAGAAUGGUUCCAUUUAUAUGAAGUUCUGCAAUGGGCAAACUGGUUGGUGGUGAAAGAAAUCAGAAGAGUGGUUGGCAGGAAGUGAGAAAGAGGGAUUGGUUGGGGUUGGAGGUGGCCCAGAGGAACUCCUUAGAGGGUUAUUUUCAUCAUGGCUUGGGUUACACCGUGUUUGUCAACAUUCGUAGACUGGUACAACUAAGAUGUUUUGCAUUUCACGGUAUGUACAUUUAAUCUCAAAAAAGGAACCUAAUAGUUAAUCAGGUGCAUGUUGAAAUGUGUGGGAGUGAAGUGAACUGAUGCCUACGCCGUAGUUGAAUUGGAUCAGAAAAUGGGAUGGAUGGAUUGAUGGAUGGAUGGAUGGGUGGAUAUGUAAUAAAGCAAGUAUACAGCAACAUAUUGGAAUUAUAAAAUCUAGGUGGAGUGGAAAGAGAUGUUCACUUUCAACUUUUUUUGGUGUGCUUAAAAAUGUGUUAAUAAAAUUUAGGAGGAAAUCAAAAUAAUUGUUACUGCAUUAAAAAUGUUGUAGAUCUCCUACAGGUAAACCUAAUUUAAUCUGAAGUGCUGUCUCACAUGUAGAAGCAUACAGUCUUAUGAUGAGUCACAGUUUUUAAAAAGAUGAAUCUUGUCAGAAUUAAAAGGCAUAUGUGAUUCUUUGAAGAAUUUCACUAAUAAAUGGAAACUGCAGUCACAGGAUCCUUUGACUUCCUCACUCUUCCUAAAUCACAGCAGAUUCCAGAUUAAAAAUCAAUCAGUAUUCUCUGCUGAACUCUAAUUAACACUUAAACAGUAUUAGUCACAAAUGUGAAAUCUUGAUCAGAGAUGACCUCAGGUAUUCUAAAUGUAAAUAAAAUUAGAUUUAGAUCCCUUUUAAUUACCUGAGGUGCUGUGAGUAAUUACAAUGGCAAUUGAUAAACUUAAUUUCUUAUUAAAGGCGGGGGAAAAGCCAUGCAAAGUUUCUCUCUGCUAAAUACUUAACUCUUCAGUGGCCAUGGCCUAUGCAAAAAAAAAAAAUUUAGAUUUACAUGUUAAUCAUGUAGAAUUAUAGAGCGUUUUAAAAAUUUUAUGUGGGCCCUCAAAUUCAUCAUGCAUCUCCUAACUUGGUGGGUAAUGUUACUAUAACAUCACAAAGGGCAAAACUUCCCCAGAGGAACUUCAUGUCUCAAAAAAGGUAGGUUUCUGGGAGGUGAUGCUGGUUAAGUAAUAAUAAUGGACGGCUGCUGGGGAGGGUGUUACAGUGACUUAAUGCACAAAGCCCUGUUGAAGACCAAGUGGAAAUCUGUUUUGUCAUCUCAUCCUUCUUCCUAAUUGCAUCACAAUACAUUGUAUGAUUCAACCUGUGUGUCACUGUCACUUCUUCCAGUGCACAGGGCCACCGCUGCCGACUCAUUAUUAACAGAGCAGGGAGGAGAGGAAUCAUUUUCAGCAGUUCCAACCAAGACAUCUUCUCUCCCCCACUUUAAGAAGAAAAUGUCUUUUUUAUGGAGAUUGUUGUAAGGAUAAUUAUUUCUGGAAAUAGGAAAACAGCUUCAGUUGUGGUAGAUACGUCCAUUUUUCUUAAAAGUUAAAAGCUGUCCGAAGGAGAGCGGGCCUGUGGCAGAUGGAAAGAUUAGAGAAGUUUCUGCACUCCUUUUCUUUUUUCUGUUGGCAUGCAUAUCUAAAAA
This is a long non-coding RNA of Sapajus apella (tufted capuchin), 2280 nucleotides long. RefSeq lists it as uncharacterized. NCBI's taxonomy places the organism in Eukaryota, Metazoa, Chordata, Mammalia, Primates, Cebidae. The record is from RefSeq and is a predicted model, not a curated record. The transcript is spliced from 2 exons.